Myxocyprinus asiaticus (Chinese sucker) is the source of this 2625-nucleotide RNA transcript. It is a transcript of the gene named B-cell receptor CD22-like, with no coding region annotated. The transcript has 10 exons. Lineage: Eukaryota; Metazoa; Chordata; Actinopteri; Cypriniformes; Catostomidae. The record is from RefSeq and is a predicted model, not a curated record.
AAGCAAAGAGAGACAGGGUGUGUGUUCAUUUCUCCACCGCUUCUACAUCAGAUUUCAUUCUCAACAUGACAUCUGAACACGGCAGAUUAAAGUAAAGCAAGGAUGUCUCAUCUAUUCUCUCUGAUCUUUCUGCUUGUGAUCCCCGGGAUUUGUGGCCAAACAUGGAAAGUGGAGUACUCAAAUCUUAACAAAUGUGCUCUGAAAGGAUCAGAAACAUUUCUAUCAGGCAGCUAUACAUAUCCAAAUAAUCUCAAUGUGACAAAGACAUUUUGGACCAGAAAUCCACAUUAUAGCAAGCAGACACUUGACCUGUAUUAUGAUCCACAUUACAAAGACAGAGUAAUGUACUACCUUGGUAAAUACCAAACCUUUAGUCUCAAACUGAGUAAUGUAGCAGAUGAGGAUGAAGGCAUGUACUGCUUCAGAAUCCUGACAAACGUUGAACAUCAAAGAUAUCUGGGUAUGCCUGGGAUCAAGCUCAAAGUGACAGAGCUCAGAGUGGAGAUUCCUCAUGAGGUCAUAGAGGGAAAUUCAGCAGUUUUGUUUUGUAAGACCACCUGCAGCUUCACAGACAGGACCAAAUAUACCUGGUUCAGAAACAGAAAGUUUUUCUCAGAAUCUGUUAGGACAAAUGAACUCUUGCUGCAGUCAGUCAGCAGUGAUGAUACAGGAAAAUACAGCUGUGCAGUGACACAUGAACAACAUCUCCAAUCUCCUACUGUCACUCUCACUGUCAGAUAUCCCCCAAAGAAAACCUCAGUGUCCAUCAGUGGAUCUGGUGAAAUAAUUUUGGGUAAUUCAGUGACUCUGACCUGCAGCUGUGAUUCAAACCCACCUGCUUGGAUUUACACCUGGUUUCAGGAGAAUGAAACAUCAGCUGUGGGAUCUGGACAGAGUUUCAGUGCACUACAGAGUGGAUUCUUCUACUGUGUGGCUCAGAAUGAAUUUGGAUCUCAGAGAUCAGCUGCUGUACCAGUCACAGUUACAGUCACAGUUGAAGCAAACAGCUCAACUUUGAUAGUAGUCAUUUCAGCUGCUGUUCUUGCUUCUGUGAUACUGAUGGUUGCCAUUGCGCUGUUUAUAAGGAGAAAAAGAAAAAGAGUUUCUCCAUCAGAAGAGCAAAACAACAGAGGAUCACAGCACAAUGGAGAGUUCAUUCUGUCUCAGAUUGAGUCUCCUGAAGGUGCCUAUAUGACCCUUGACCCCAAAUCCAGAUGUGCUGAUUACGACACACUGCAAAAUAUGAAGAGAUCCUGCAGUAACACAGAUGACCCUGAAUCUCAGGAUCCAACAUAUUAUAACAUUGACAAUUAAAUAUUCCACCUCUGUUAUACACUUAUAGGUCUUACUAGAUCUGUAAAUCUUGUAGUUAAGUCUGUCUGCUGUCCAUAAGUGAGCUUUUGUAGAAUGACAGUUUUUACAACUUGUGAUCUUUUAAUUACAAUUGAAUGACUGUUGUGAGAAGGCACAUUGUUUAAUCCACUCGAUAACAAUUUAAUGGACAUGCACUCUUUAAGGAGCGACUGCUUUUGAAUUUGUUCAUUGCUGAUUUUAAUUAUCUACUGUAUAUGCUACACUCUGUACAUGGAUCCUUAUUUUGUUAAAACUAUUCAAAUGAACUGAACUUGAAAGGAGGACUUUGUCCCACAUUUAAGCAGUGAAAUGUUCAACAGGGACUCAAAACAACUCAACGUGAAUGCAGUUACACAUUCUUGCCUGUAGAUGUGGUGUCAGGCUGUUGAGAGCUGAAUCCUGUAGAGAUGAAGAGUGAAGCUGCUGUCCGAGACCUUCAGUUUAUAGAUGAAGUAUCAUAGCAGCAACCACCUAGCAACUACCCAUAACACCCUGACAACCACAUUGAACUCACCAAGAAUAUCACAGAUACUUAGUGGUGGACUUUUCUGACUUGGGCAAAAACCAGCCAACUAUAAAUCAUCCAGAAAACCCUAGAAACCACCUAGCAACACCCUAGCAACUAACUAUAACACACUUGCAAAAGCAGAGCAAUGCAGAGAAAUGUGGUUCUUCCUGGGUGUUUAUUUUUUUGAAGCCACGUUUUAGAAUGUCCCAGUCAAUUAAAUAAAUAAAGUCAAUUUCCCACUUUUCUGGCACUGUUAAACAUCUUAUAUAUUAGUGCUUUUUAUGUUGCUUCCAAAAUAAAAAUAAAAAUGUCACAACACAGCUACUAUUAACCCUUGUGUGACCUUCGGGACAUUUUUGCCUUUUUAAUUUUAGUUUUUUCGAUCAUUUUGGCUGGAUUAAGGCCAACAGCAUAAAUUUUGCCAAAAUUAUGUAUUUUUGGGGGAAUUUUAAUAUUUCAACCUCAGUUCCUAUAAUACAUCUAUAAUACACUUUUACACUCAGGACCUUCAGGACAAAAAUGUCCCCAUUGAAACCCAUUAAAACUGCAAUAUUUGAUCCCAGUGCCAUUAAAGCAUAAAAUCAUGAAUUCUAUGAUAUUAUGCUUUCAUUCCUGAGCCCUGAUUCAAAAUUUACAAUUUUAAUAUCUUCCACCAGAUGGCACCAUUUGUCUCAUGUUUAGCCUAUGGAGCAAAUACAAGCUUUUCCCCUAUUCUCUGUUUGCUGUAUUAUAGAGCACUGCAGGACAACUGAAUAAAUGAUGCA